AUAAAGUUUCCGGCACAGAACAAAGUGUUUAAAGUGCAACAGUGCUGAGAAAUUAAAGAUGUGUGUUGGAUCAUAAUUUCAUCGUCCAUGUAUUAAAGAAGCGAUCACUCGAGUCACGAUGGUAUCUACAGUCGAAAAAUGCCAACGUAAAGCUUUCAGUUUGUCAUCCAGGAGUUUUUAUUUAGUAUAUGAGAGAUGACACAGCAACAAAUGCAAGAGCAGGAGAUGAAACGAAGAUGAUGAUGAUGAGACGACAGGAGCCAUGGAUCUUAAAAUCCGUCCGGAGGAGAUGUCUUUAAAUACACCUGUUUGUGCACUGAUAUAAACUUCAUAUGUAAAUAAAGUACCGUGCUAUUA
Paramisgurnus dabryanus is the source of this 357-nucleotide non-coding RNA. The record is from RefSeq and is a predicted model, not a curated record. NCBI's taxonomy places the organism in Eukaryota, Metazoa, Chordata, Actinopteri, Cypriniformes, Cobitidae.